GACGAACGCUGGCGGCGUGCUUAACACAUGCAAGUCGAACGGAAAGGCCCCCACUUUUUUGGUGGGGGUGCUCGAGUGGCGAACGGGUGAGUAACACGUGGGUGAUCUGCCCUGUACUUCGGGAUAAGCUUGGGAAACUGGGUCUAAUACCGGAUAGGACCAUGGUUUAGUGUCUCAUGGUGGAAAAAUUAUUGUUUUGGUGCAGGAUGAGCUCGCGGCCUAUCAGCUUGUUGGUGGGGUAAUGGCCUACCAAGGCGUCGACGGGUAGCCGGCCUGAGAGGGUGGACGGCCACAUUGGGACUGGGAUACGGCCCAGACUCCUACGGGUGGCAGCAGUGGGGAAUAUUGCACAAUGGGCGCAAGCCUGAUGCAGCGAAGCCGCGUGGGGGAUGACGGCCUUCGGGUUGUAAACUCCUUUCGUUAGGGACGAAGCCGCACCUUUUUGGGGUGUGGUGACGGUACCUUUGUUAAGAAGCACCGGCUAACUACGUG
This 492-nucleotide ribosomal RNA is filed under the name uncultured bacterium. Its description in RNAcentral is "partial 16S ribosomal RNA". It matches the Rfam family "Bacterial small subunit ribosomal RNA", at positions 28 to 507 of the family's 1533-position model. The record is from RNAcentral.